Molecule: long non-coding RNA, 1102 nt
Organism: Bos taurus (domestic cattle)
Lineage: Eukaryota; Metazoa; Chordata; Mammalia; Artiodactyla; Bovidae
Source: Ensembl
GGAAAUCAGCCUUGGAAAAUGGGAAGCAACGGUCCUGUAAAUUCAGCAGGGAGACCUUCCUUCCACUGCCGCAUUCCAGUAGUCUGAACCUGCCUGCCCCCAACCUUCUCAAGUGUGCUCUGCUGGCCACGGGUCUUCUCAACCCCAGCACCGGGGCUAUACACAGCAUACAGACAGAUAUCCUGGGUCUUGGAGUCAGCUGUCCAGAGGAGUCACAUUCAGCUUCAAGUUGCCCCACUGCGCCCCUCCCCUAUAUGCAGGUUCUGAAGGAACCGAGCCUGAUUUGGACUUUGGAAUUCUGGAACGGCAAGAGGAAGAGGUGGACUCGGCCUUGCGUGUUUCAGCGUCUCUUCUGGUUUUCUUCCCAUCAGUUCAGUUCAAUUCAUUCAUUCAGUCAUGGCUGACUCUCUGAGAUCCCAUGGACUGCAGCACGUCAGGCUUCCCUGUCCAUCACAAAUUCUCAUGUCCAUCAGGGAAUCGUCCCGACCCAGGGAUCGAACCCAGAUCUCCUGCAUUGCAGGCAGAUUCUUUACUGACUGCACUACGAGAGAAGUCUUUUUCCCCAUAAAGGCUACUGCAUGUGGGGUCUUAGCUUCCUGACCAGGGAUUGAACCCGCACACCCUGCCCUGGAAGGUGAACUCUUAACCACUGGGCCGCCAGGGACGUCCUCACAUGUUUCCUUACGUGAAGGAGGCAGAGGGAGACUUGGCUACAGAAGAGGAGGAGGCUGUGUGGUGAUGAAAGGAGAGACUGCAAUGAUGAGAUCAUGAGCCAAGGAACGCCAAGGAAUUUUGAAACUACCAGCAGCUGGAAGGAGAAGGGAGCUGAUUCUUCCCUGGAGCCUCCAGAAAGAAUCAGCUGGCAACACCUUGAUUUUAGGUCUGGAAGACUCAUUUCAGAGUGUAUGUCUCCAGAACUAUAAGAGAAUAUAUUUCUGUUGUUUUAAGCCACUACUUUUUCUAUAGCAAUGAGAAAUGGCCACAUUGUUCCUUCUGUCUGAACUGCUCCUCCCCCAGGUGACUGAAUGGUUGCCUCCCUUACUUCCUUUAGUACUUUGCUCAAAUAUUUGCCACCUUCUCAAUAAAUUACCCUGUUCAGGAG